AUGGGGAAGCGGGACAAUCGGGUGGCCUAUAUGAACCCAAUAGCAAUGGCGAGAUCAAGGGGUCCAGUCCAGUCGUCAGGGCCAACAAUACAGGAUUAUCUGAAUCAACCAAGGCCUACCUGAACUGGAAGAAAGAACUGGAAAAACACAGGGAGAAAUUGUUAAGUGAAAGUGAGAGCUCAUCCAAACAAAGAAAGAAAAAAGAAAAGAAGAAAUCUGGUAGGUUCUUCUGAUUCUGAAGAUGAGGAUAAGAAACAAGGAAAACGGAGAAAGAAAAAGAAGAACCGUGCACAUAAAUCUUCUGAAAGCUCCAUGUCAGAAACUGAAUCAGACAGUAAGGAUAGUUUAAAAAAGAAAAAGAAGUCAAAAGAUGGAACUGAGAAAGAAAAGGAUAUUAAAGGACUCAGCAAAAAAAGAAAGAUGUAUUCUGAAGAUAAACCUUUAUCAUCUGAGUCCUUGUCAGAAUCAGAGUAUAUUGAGGAGGUGUGAGCAAAAAAGAAGAAAAGCAGUGAAGAACGAGAAAAAGCAACAGAAAAAAAAAAAAAAAAAAAAAAAACAAGAAAAAGAAGCAUAAGAAACACAGUAAGAAGAAGAAAAAGAAGGCUGCUAGUUCAAGUCCUGACUCUCCAUAACAUUAAGAAAAAUCAGGUUUCCCUUAUAAAGAAAGUGCAAUGUCUGAGGAAAUUUCAACUGUGAAAACUACAACAUAUUUACUAAAAUGCAUGAAUUUUCUUGUUUUUAGAAUUAUUCCUGGACUAUUCAGUAGCCAGUCAGAUGCCACUGUGUGAAAGGGCCAUAAAUAUUGCCUGCUGCUUGAACAUCUAUUUUUUUCUCUUCCAGUGCUUGAUAACUCUGGGAGAUAAUACACUGCAGUCGUACUAGUGGUUAAGAUAUUUGGGAAUAAAAUUAAUACUUUUGACUAGAAGUGUCUAAGGAUAACCAACAGAAAUUGAAUCUGGAUACAUCUUUAAGAUGUAAUCAGAAAUGACCAGAUGACUCUAGUUAAAAUUUUUGAAGGAGGGAUUACAUUAAUAUUUCAAAAUCCUUACUCUGUAGAUAAGUGUAUUUUAAUUUUUUCCCCUCAUAUACUUUUAUUUACCUGGGGAAGGAGCUUUUAGGGUUGGGGGGAGCGGUUUGCUAUCUCUUUAGCUAGCAGAAUAGUGUGCCUUUGAUCCUCAUACAUCCUGUAUUAUGGACACAGUAGCCAUGCUUCACGGGGAGGUCAGAGCUGGCUACCAGCAGUCUUGCCCUUUACUGAGCUUAGUGUUAUCCUUGGAUGCUGUCAUAUGCUGCUUCGAGUGAACCAGAGAAACAGUCAUUUGCAGCAUGAG
Nomascus leucogenys (northern white-cheeked gibbon) is the source of this 1331-nucleotide RNA transcript. It is a transcript of the gene named protein FAM133B pseudogene, with no coding region annotated. The transcript has a single exon. Lineage: Eukaryota; Metazoa; Chordata; Mammalia; Primates; Hylobatidae. The record is from RefSeq and is a predicted model, not a curated record.